UAUUGGACAUAAAGACCUGGAGUUGGACAGCGUAGCUGAAAUAGCUGAUGCGCUCUUGGAGGCAUCACCUCCGGCUGUUCCACCUGCUACCUGUGCAAUCAACAAUAACAAUACUUCUGGGCCGUCGGAAAUGAGUGCUCUCAUGAAGUGCAUUGACGACCUAACAAUGAGAGUUGAAGCCCUCAGUACCAGGGACUCGCAGCCAUCUCGUUUCCACUCCCAGCCUAAUUCACAGUCGCAAUCUAGACCCGGAGGACGUUGGUGCUGGUACCACAAACGCUAUGGCAAAAACGCCACAAAAUGUAUCUCUCCUUGUACCUGGAAACCCCGUCAAGAGGGAAACUUUCCAAGCAAUCAGUAGAGGCGGCUUCUGAUUGCUCAACAUUCGGCCACCGUUUAUUUGUCAGGGAUUCCAAGACAGGUCACCUAUUUUUAAUUGAUACUGGGUCUGAUAUCAGCUGCUUCCCAUGCAACCUGCUUAAGGGAAGAUAUAUUGCCACAACUUUUGACGUUCGGGCCGCCAAUGGCAGUGCUAUAAAAACUUAUGGCACACUUCCCUUGCAGUUAGAUUUAGGGUUGGUUCGAUCUUUCAAAUGGAAUUUUGUGAUUGCAGACGUUAGCGCACCUAUCAUCGGCUCAGACUUAUUGGCUGAAUAUUACCUGAUACCUGACUAUCACAACCAACGGCUGAUAGAUGGCAACACAAGGAACUUUGCUCCGGCUACCAUUGCCCAAAUUAAUCAACAAAGCAUCAAGGCAAUCGUUGCAGAGUCACCAUUUUCAAAAAUCCUGCUGGAAUUUCCUGAUAUUUUGCGACCGCCUGGACUCCCACGGAUUGUGAAGCACUCAACAGUACACCACAUCAUCACAACAGAAGGGCCGCCUGUGUCAUGCCGUCCACGAAGACUUGCACCUCAAAAACUACAGGCAGCAAAGAAAGAGUUUGAUGAUAUGUUGAAGUGUGGAACUGCUCGCCUAUCAAGCAGCCCCUGGGCUUCACCCUUACACAUGGCAAGAAAAGGGACCCUGCAGAGCAUGCUCAACAUCUUCGAGCUCUGUUCCAGAGGUUGUCCAAGUAUGCAGUCGUCAUCAACUCCUCGAAGUGCGUGUUAGCCGCAGACGAGUUUACGACGGAUAUAGUGCAUGUCCAAGGAAAGGAGAACGUCGUGGCGGAUACGGUGUCAAGAAUUGAGGCGAUUCGGAUCGAGGACGAUUACACGGAAUUGGCAAAGUCUCAAGAGACCGAUGAAGAGCUCCGUAACGUACAAACUAAUUCCUCUUUAAAAAUCGAAAAGAUUAAUUUACCAGGCAUCAAUGUGAAUUUUUUUUGCGACGUAUCGACAGGUAAACCUCGUCCAUACCUAACUCCAGCCUUCCGUCGGAAGUACUUUGAGAAGAUCCACAAUCUCAGCCACCCUGGCGCUCGAGCUUCGGCCCGUUUGAUGGCUGAUCGUUUUGUCUGGCCUAACAUAAGGAAGGAAUGUCGACAAUGGGCACGUAGCUGCCUUGCUUGCCAACGCUGUAAAGUUACCAGACACGUAAACGCACCAUUGGAGAAGUUUACUAGCCCUUCCCUUCGCCUACGCCAUGUACAUCUCGACAUCAUCGGCCCCUUGCCCCACAGUAAAGGUUACCAGUACUGUUUGACAGCUGUCGACAGAUUUACCCGGUGGCCAGAGGCUUGGCCAAUGGUCGGGAUCACGGCAGAAGAAGUAGCAGAAACGUUCACCCGGGAGUAGAUAUCCCGAUACGGGGUACCCUCUGUGGUGACCGCUGACCAAGGACGACAGUUUGAAUCAAACCUUUUCCAUCGCCUCAUGGAUGUUUGCGGUACUAAUCGCGUUCGGACGACUGGGUAUCACCCACAAGCGAAUGGAAUGGUGGAGCGCAUGCACCGUCAAUUAAAAGCGGUUGUCAUGUGCCACGGAGAGACCUGGUUAACAGCAUUGCCUCUGGUAUUAUUAGGCAUGAGAACCGCACUUAAAGAAGACUUGAAAACGUCUGCCGCCGAGCUGCUGUACGGCGAGCCUCUUCGUCUCCCCGGCGAGCUCGUCGUUGCCCCAGAGAAAACAGCAGGUUCUGAGGUAAUGAUGGAUUUUGUUACUCGAUUGAGAAACCAUAUGAAAGGACUACGAGUCACACCCGCUGCUCAUCAUUCCCAACCAUCUUCAUUUGUUUUUAAAGACCUGAAUAUCGCGACACAUGUAUUUCUCCGGGACGAUUCAGUGCGGCGCUCUCUGCAACCACCUUACACUGGGCCGUAUCUGGUCAAACAGAGGCAGGGCAAAACCCUGACCAUAGAUAUAAACGGCAGAGAGGCUACCGUCAGUAUUGACAGAGUAAAACCAGCACACAUAGAUAGCUCGGAGCCCAGUCAAACUUCUGUUCUGCCAUUACCUGCUGCAGCACCUUCUCCAGCGCCAGUGCCCAUUCCAGGUCCUACUAUCCAUUCUCCAACUCCUGAUCCUAUACCUAUAGUCACUAGGGCAGGGAGGAUAGUAAAGCACAAGAAUAGGUUAGAUUUAUAAUAUUUUAAUUGUAAUGUUUUUGUUUGUCGGUUAUAAUUAUAACAUUUUAUAUGUUUAAUUGUCUCCGUGGGGGGGGUGGUGUGGCAAAUCGCCACGCACCCAAAUUUUAAUUGUAAUAUUGUAUGGUUCAGAAAUUAUCACAUGAUAUGGUAUGUAAUAUUUUUGUUUGUCUGUUAUAAAAUUUUAUGUGGUUUAAUUGUCUCCGUGGGGGGGUGGUGUGGCGAAUCGCCACGCAUCUGAAGAGACCUCACGUCGAGGAAAAAGAAUGAAGUGUUGUUGGCAACA
Molecule: long non-coding RNA, 2813 nt
Organism: Cydia splendana
Lineage: Eukaryota; Metazoa; Arthropoda; Insecta; Lepidoptera; Tortricidae
Exons: 3
Source: RefSeq, a predicted model, not a curated record